AGAGUUUGAUCCUGGCUCAGAAUGAACGCUGGCGGCGUGCUUAACACAUGCAAGUCGAACGGUAACAGGACUAGCUUGCUAGUUGCUGACGAGUGGCGCACGGGUGAGUAAUAGAUAGAUAAUGUGCCCCUUAGUCUGGGAUAGCCACUGGAAACGGUGAUUAAUACUAGAUACGCCUUUUUGCCUUAUGGCAAUUUGGGAAAGGUUUUUCGCUAAGGGAUCAGUCUAUCUCCUAUCAGUUAGUUGGUGAGGUAAGAGCUCACCAAGGCAAUGACGGGUAUCGGGUUUGAGAGGAUGAUCCGCCACACUGGAACUGAGACACGGUCCAGACUCCUACGGGAGGCAGCAGUGAGGAAUAUUGCACAAUGGGGGAAACCCUGAUGCAGCAACGCCGCGUGGAGGAUGACGCAUUUCGGUGUGUAAACUCCUUUUAUAAGAGAAGAACAUGACGGUAUCUUAUGAAUAAGCUCCGGCUAACUCCGUGCCAGCAGCCGCGGUAAUACGGAGGGAGCAAGCGUUAUUCGGAAUCACUGGGCGUAAAGGACGCGUAGGCGGGUUGUCAAGUCUGAUGUGAAAUCCUAUGGCUCAACCAUAGAACUGCAUUGGAAACUGGCAACCUAGAGUAUGGAAGGGGCAGAUGGAAUUAGUGGUGUAGGGGUAAAAUCCGUAGAUAUCACUAGGAAUACCGAAAGCGAAGGCGAUCUGCUGGGACAUUACUGACGCUGAGACGCGAAAGCGUGGGGAGCAAACAGGAUUAGGUACCCUGGUAGUCCACGCCGUAAACGAUGAGAACUAGGUGCAGCGGAUAUUGACCUCUGCUGUGCCGUAGCUAACGCGUUAAGUUCUCCGCCUGGGGAGUACGGCCGCAAGGCUAAAACUCAAAGGAAUUGACGGGGGCCCGCACAAGCAGUGGAGCAUGUGGUUUAAUUCGAAGCAACGCGCAGAACCUUACCAGGGCUAGAAAAACUAAGAAUCCUGACGAAACUCGGGAGUGCUCGCAAGAGAACUUAGGUCCAGGUGCUGCAUGGCUGUCGUCAGCUCGUGUCGUGAGAUGUUGGGUUAAGUCCCGCAACGAGCGCAACCCUUGUCCUUAGUUGCCAUCAUUUAGUUGGGCUCUCUAAGGAGACUGCCGGGGUCAACCCGGAGGAAGGUGGGGAUGACGUCAAGUCCUCAUGGCCCUUAUGUCCUGGGCUACACACGUGCUACAAUGGUUGAUACAAAGCGCUGCGAAGCCGCAAGGUGGAGCGAAUCGCAAAAAGUCAGCCUCAGUACGGAUUGCACUCUGCAACUCGAGUGCAUGAAGUCGGAAUUGCUAGUAAUCGUCGAUCAGCAGGCGACGGUGAAUACGUUCCCGGGCCUUGUACAU
This 1366-nucleotide ribosomal RNA is filed under the name metagenome. Its description in RNAcentral is "bacterial SSU rRNA". It matches the Rfam family "Bacterial small subunit ribosomal RNA". The record is from RNAcentral.